RNAcentral lists this ribosomal RNA (301 nucleotides) under uncultured bacterium. RNAcentral describes it as "partial 16S ribosomal RNA". It matches the Rfam family "Bacterial small subunit ribosomal RNA", at positions 509 to 807 of the family's 1533-position model. The record is from RNAcentral.
CAGCCGCCACGGUAAUACGAGGGGGGCAAGCGUUGUUCGGAUUUAUUGGGCGUAAAGAGUGCGUAGGCGGUUUGGCAAGUCUUGUGUGAAAUCUUCGGGCUCAACCCGAAGCCUGCACGAGAAACUACCGGGCUUAAGUAUUGGAGAGGUGAGUGGAAUUUCCGGUGUAGCAGUGAAAUGCGUAGAUAUCGGAAGGAACACCUGUAGCGAAAGCGGCUCACUGGACAAUAACUGACGCUGAUGCACGAAAGCUAGGGGAGCAAACAGGAUUAGAUACCCGGGUAGUCCCUGUCUCUUAUAC